CCUACGGGUGGCAGCAGUGGGGAAUAUUGGACAAUGGGGGGAACCCUGAUCCAGCCAUGCCGCGUGUGUGAAGAAGGCCCUCGGGUUGUGAAGCACUUUCAGUGAGGAAGAACGCCUGGUGGUUAAUACCCAUCAGGAAAGACAUCACUCACAGAAGAAGCACCGGCUAACUCCGUGCCAGCAGCCGCGGUAAUACGGAGGGUGCGAGCGUUAAUCGGAAUUACUGGGCGUAAAGCGCGCGUAGGUGGCUUGAUAAGCCGGUUGUGAAAGCCCCGGGCUCAACCUGGGAACGGCAUCCGGAACUGUCAAGCUAGAGUGCAGGAGAGGAAGGUAGAAUUCCCGGUGUAGCGGUGAAAUGCGUAGAGAUCGGGAGGAAUACCAGUGGCGAAGGCGGCCUUCUGGACUGACACUGACACUGAGGUGCGAAAGCGUGGGUAGCAAACAGGAUUAGAUACCCCAGUAGUC
This 465-nucleotide ribosomal RNA is filed under the name Vreelandella stevensii. RNAcentral describes it as "partial 16S ribosomal RNA". It matches the Rfam family "Bacterial small subunit ribosomal RNA", at positions 338 to 795 of the family's 1533-position model. The record is from RNAcentral. Lineage: Bacteria; Pseudomonadati; Pseudomonadota; Gammaproteobacteria; Oceanospirillales; Halomonadaceae.